RNAcentral lists this ribosomal RNA (256 nucleotides) under uncultured bacterium. Its description in RNAcentral is "partial 16S ribosomal RNA". It matches the Rfam family "Bacterial small subunit ribosomal RNA", at positions 524 to 776 of the family's 1533-position model. The record is from RNAcentral.
UACGUAGGGUGCAAGCGUUUGUCCGGAAUUAUUGGGCGUAAAGAGCUCGUAGGCGGUCUGUCGCGUCUGCUGUGAAACCUAGGGCUUAACUCUGGGCGUGCAGUGGGUACGGGCAGACUAGAGUGCGGUAGGGGAGACUGGAAUUCCGUGGUGUAGCGGUGAAAUGCGCAGAUAUCAGGAGGAACACCGGUGGCGAAGGCGGGUCUCUGGGAAACAACUGACGCUGGAGGAACGAAAGCCGUGGGUAGCAAACAGG